GCAUGAAAUGAUGGUAGUCAUUUUUGGGACUGACUUGAAAUAAAGAGAAUACUCUUUGCUGGUCACGG
Molecule: small nucleolar RNA, 68 nt
Organism: Nannospalax galili (Upper Galilee mountains blind mole rat)
Lineage: Eukaryota; Metazoa; Chordata; Mammalia; Rodentia; Spalacidae
Product: small nucleolar RNA SNORD2
Exons: 1
Source: RefSeq, a predicted model, not a curated record